GACGAACGCUGGCGGCGUGCUUAACACAUGCAAGUCGAACGGAAAGGCCCUUCGGGGUACUCGAGUGGCGAACGGGUGAGUAACACGUGGGUGAUCUGCCCUGCACUUUGGGAUAAGCCUGGGAAACUGGGUCUAAUACCGAAUAGGACCACGCGCUUCAUGGUGUGUGGUGGAAAGCUUUUGCGGUAUGGGAUGGGCCCGCGGCCUAUCAGCUUGUUGGUGGGGUAAUGGCCUACCAAGGCGACGACGGGUAGCCGGCCUGAGAGGGUGACCGGCCACACUGGGACUGAGAUACGGCCCAGACUCCUACGGGAGGCAGCAGUGGGGAAUAUUGCACAAUGGGCGCAAGCCUGAUGCAGCGACGCCGCGUGAGGGAUGACGGCCUUCGGGUUGUAAACCUCUUUCAAUAGGGACGAAGCGCAAGUGACGGUACCUAUAGAAGAAGCACCGGCCAACUACGUG
Molecule: ribosomal RNA, 462 nt
Filed under: uncultured bacterium
Lineage: Bacteria
Description: partial 16S ribosomal RNA
Rfam family: Bacterial small subunit ribosomal RNA
Source: RNAcentral